UUACAAAAGCAACGACACCAUGUCGAAAUUGAAUGGACUUAUUUUGUGUAGCUUUUGUCUUUUAUCAUUUGUCAACAUAGAGGUCAACGGUCGACGAUGCGUAAUGGUGUGUCCUAGAACACCUGGUAUUGGAAUCGGUCCAUGUGGUAAAAAGUGUCCAAGCGCUGGUUGUGGCUCUGGAAAAAGUUGUUGUUUUAAUGGCUGCGGUCAUGAUUGUAAAAAGAAAGUUAAAACGUGCUUUGAAAUAUGGUCAUAGUUGCAAACACAGGGUGGACAGCAAACCGCCAUAUAUAAGGAAGUACAUUGUAUUUGUUUGAUAUCUCGCUACGAAAAUGUCAUGAAGACCUCAGUUCAGUAAAUUACUGUUUUAAUUAUCAAAGCUUUCAAGAUUUUAAGAUGAA
Molecule: long non-coding RNA, 401 nt
Organism: Mytilus californianus (California mussel)
Lineage: Eukaryota; Metazoa; Mollusca; Bivalvia; Mytilida; Mytilidae
Exons: 3
Source: RefSeq, a predicted model, not a curated record